Molecule: long non-coding RNA, 371 nt
Organism: Gossypium raimondii (Peruvian cotton)
Lineage: Eukaryota; Viridiplantae; Streptophyta; Magnoliopsida; Malvales; Malvaceae
Exons: 3
Source: RefSeq, a predicted model, not a curated record
AAGCAUAACUCUUAAAGACAAGAAAAAUAAAUGAAGAGCCUCGAUCAAAACGGAAGGGUGAUUCAAAACACAACAAAGAAAACCCAUCUAGCUUCCCCUGAGAACAAAACUUAGCAUCAAUUGUCUUUCUACAAAAUUUCGUUCUUCUGAUAGAUAAAUACGCUGCUGCAGAUAAACUAGAAUCAAACAUCCACCGUUGGUCCCGUUCUACCAGAUCCGUCGCUUCUCCAGGACCACAAACUGUCAUUACAUGUAGCAUAGAUUCUGGCAGCAAUCCAAAUCGUAGACAGAUAGGAGUACGGGGAAAAACAUUCUUGACCGAUCAGCCAUUCGGAUCCCACAAAUCAUGAGGCGUAAGUGCAAUUAAGGGU